UUACUUUCGCGUCGCUGGAGAGGCUUUAAUUGCACGAGCUGCGGUUGAAACUGUGAAUGCGAUUCCAUCCAAGAACCACAGCCUACGUUAACCAGCGAUCUGCUCGUGUUCGCUGCUUCGCGUCAACCUGCGACGGCUUGUGGCACGAGCGACAACGUACAGUGGAAUGUAGUGCCUGGGCGCUUGGAGACCACUGCCCUUUUUCGUGCAUUUGAAAAACAGCGACCGCGAACUACUACUUCAGCGGAAUACAACAGCUUGUCCGCUUUGCAUUCUUCUUAUGGUGACUGCCACAGCUCUGCUAAGCACGCGCGGGCGUCUCAACCAUUGGCGGCGAGGAGUUACGGAGUCGCCAUCUAUCGGAAGCGCCUCGCUGGCGUACUAUGAGGGAUCACGUGGCGUGCCCUUCAUAGGUUUUGCUGUCAGCGCUCACUGAAAACACCACGCGCGAGCUCUCCCGGACAUUUCUGCUCUUACAUCGAACUGGGCCACCGCUCUGCGCAUCUCCAACCUCAAGACGCAAGACUGGGCAGACCAGCGGGCCCGAGAGGCGGUGACGAGGCAAGGCCUCGAAGUCCCCUCCUGGGAGACCUGAGCCCGGAUCGUUAACAUUGCUGGAUUUUCUACAAAGUUGUUUCCAUCCAUCCAUUAGGUGUGUUGCACGAAAACCGUGCUGUGUGUUUCGCAUCUCUUGCGUCAAAGUAUAUUGAAGCUCAUAUAAUUUGUGUGCAAUGUAAGUUCCGCUAUGUAUUUGAUAUGUAUAUGUAUACAAAUGCCUAAGUGUGCAUGGUCAUUCUAUGUAGGUUCUUGAAUGUACUGUAUGCUGCUGUCAGCAGCACGGAGAUGAAGUCCAGUUAUGCGGCAUAGAGUCCCUUUCAGUUUUGUUUACUUCACAGUUGUGUGUUGUGCUGAUUGUAACUGCACCUUACAAAUGCUCUGCCGAAAUAAAUAAAAGAUCUCAUUCCUGUUCA
Dermacentor andersoni is the source of this 971-nucleotide long non-coding RNA. RefSeq lists it as uncharacterized. Lineage: Eukaryota; Metazoa; Arthropoda; Arachnida; Ixodida; Ixodidae. The record is from RefSeq and is a predicted model, not a curated record.